This 406-nucleotide ribosomal RNA is filed under the name uncultured bacterium. Its description in RNAcentral is "partial 16S ribosomal RNA". It matches the Rfam family "Bacterial small subunit ribosomal RNA", at positions 30 to 527 of the family's 1533-position model. The record is from RNAcentral.
AUUGAACGCUGGCGGCAGGCCUAACACAUGCAAGUCGAACGAGUGGCGGACGGGUGAGUAAUGUCUGGGAAACUGCCUGAUGGACGGGGAUAACUACUGGCAACUGUAGCUAAUACCGCCUACCAUCGCUUCUUCCCUUAUGGGAUUUGCUAGUAGGUGGGGUAAAGGCUCACAUAGGCGACGAUCCCUCGCUGGUCUUAGAGUAUGACCAGCCACACUGGAACUGUGACACGGGCCAGACUCCUACGGUAGGCAGCAGUGGGGAAUAUUGCACAAGGGGCGCAAGCCGGAUGCAGCCAUGCCGCGUGUAUGAAGAAGGCCUUCGGGUUGUAAAGUACUUUCAGCGGGGAGGCGGUACCCGAAGAAGAAGCAACGGCUAACUCCGUGCCAGCAGCCGCGGUAAGUG